GGUGGUGUAAGUUUUCAAUUACAAUGAAAAUACCCUAAUUAGGCACCUCUAUACAGAAAGGGUUAGAACAA
This 71-nucleotide transfer RNA is filed under the name Gammarus electrus. Its description in RNAcentral is "tRNA-Val". Lineage: Eukaryota; Metazoa; Arthropoda; Malacostraca; Amphipoda; Gammaridae. The record is from RNAcentral.